GAUUGUAGUCUGCAACCCGACUACAUGAAGCUGGAAUCGCUAGUAAUCGCGGAUCAGAAUGCCGCGGUGAAUACGUUCCCGGGUCUUGUACACACCGCCCGUCACACCAUGGGAGUCGGAAAUGCCCGAAGUCAGUGACCCAACCGUAAGGAGGGAGCUGCCGAAGGUGGAGCCGGUAACUGGGGUGAAGUCGUAACAAGGUAUC
Molecule: ribosomal RNA, 205 nt
Filed under: uncultured bacterium
Lineage: Bacteria
Description: partial 16S ribosomal RNA
Rfam family: Bacterial small subunit ribosomal RNA
Source: RNAcentral